CCCUUAUAUUUUCUGUGUGUGUUCAGGUGAUAUCUAGAAAAUAGAACUGUUGUUUGUAAUUAAAACUCUUAAUAUUAGAUGGUACAGUGUUUUUACUCUCUUCCAAACAGUAAAGUUCCUCUUUGUCUCUCAGUAGGAAAUCUAAACCAGACAGUACAAGGCUACAUUUCAGUGUUACAAGCCAAUCAGUUUGCUAAUUGUUCUGUGAGAUUUGUUUGCAAAGUUUAAGGUGUUAAAGCAGGAGCUGGCAUUCUGUCAGAGCCUCAGCAACAAGACCGCCUCCCAGCAACGAGACUGCCUGUCAGCCUUGCAAGAUUUGUUUGAAAAGUUUGAGGUGGUAACUGUGAGCUGUGAACAUCCGGGUUUGCUUGCUGCUGGCAUUCGACCAGCGUCUCAGCAACAACACUGCCUCCCAGCUUUGCAAGAUGCCGAGAAAAAAUAAAAGAUCCCAGGCACAAAAGAAGCGCUGGAAACCACUUGACUUGGUCGAUCCUGCUGUCCCAAUGCUCACUGGCCACAACCAAGAUGAGGCAGUCAGUCGUUUUCCAUCUGACCAGCAGACGGCACCAGCCAGGUUAUCUUUGGAAACACAGGAUAGACCCACCUCCUAUGUUC
Oreochromis niloticus (Nile tilapia) is the source of this 615-nucleotide long non-coding RNA. RefSeq lists it as uncharacterized. The transcript has 4 exons. The record is from RefSeq and is a predicted model, not a curated record. Lineage: Eukaryota; Metazoa; Chordata; Actinopteri; Cichliformes; Cichlidae.